UAGGGAAUCUUCGGCAAUGGGGGCAACCCUGACCGAGCAACGCCGCGUGAGUGAAGAAGGUUUUCGGAUCGUAAAGCUCUGUUGUAAGAGAAGAACGUGUGUGAGAGUGGAAAGUUCACACAGUGACGGUAACUUACCAGAAAGGGACGGCUAACUACGUGCCAGCAGCCGCGGUAAUACGUAGGUCCCGAGCGUUGUCCGGAUUUAUUGGGCGUAAAGCGAGCGCAGGCGGUUUAAUAAGUCUGAAGUUAAAGGCAGUGGCUUAACCAUUGUUCGCUUUGGAAACUGUUAAACUUGAUUGCAGAAGGGGAGAGUGGAAGUCCAUGUGUAGCGGUGAAAUGCGUAGAUAUAUGGAGGGACACCGGUGGCGAAAGCGGCUCUCUGGUCUGUAACUGACGCUGAGGCUCGAAAGCGUGGGGAGCAAACAGG
Molecule: ribosomal RNA, 429 nt
Filed under: bacterium
Lineage: Bacteria
Description: partial 16S ribosomal RNA
Rfam family: Bacterial small subunit ribosomal RNA
Source: RNAcentral